Long non-coding RNA from Thamnophis elegans (Western terrestrial garter snake), 528 nucleotides. RefSeq lists it as uncharacterized. Lineage: Eukaryota; Metazoa; Chordata; Lepidosauria; Squamata; Natricidae. The transcript has 2 exons. The record is from RefSeq and is a predicted model, not a curated record.
CUCAGAAACCAUCCACCUCACUGCAUUUUGUCAUCUGCCCGAAAUCCUCCAGAUCCUCAGGGAGGUUGGCCCCAAUCAAACCUGAGGAGACGGUUUCUCUUUGAUGGCUCCUGUCAAAUCCUGUGAGGACAGAUGAGGCGCAAACAGCUGAGACUCCAAAAUAAUAACACCUAGACAGAAAAGACUUCAAGACAACCUGAUUUUAUAUUCCAGUGGUAAUUGCCGUGGUCACAAAGCUUCUUCAGAUUUUUUCUGAUCUAGACUAUAACUGGGAUUCUGAGCUAUCCCAGAGAAGAUGCUAUCUACCUAGUGAGCUAAAGAGUUGCAAUUUGUGUAAAGGCUGGUUUGCUUGUGGCUACGGACAUGAUUUGUGGAAUACAGAUGAGUCAAUUUAUUGUAAAAUAGCAUAUUAUGCCUCUCUAUAUCUGCUUCUGAUAGUGGUAAUGAGGGAUAUUUUUCUGAUGGAUGUGCCAUGCCCCUCUGAACUAUGUAUAACCAAUAAAACAUUGUGUUAAUGUCAACACUUGA